AAAUAGAACUUUGCAGAGAGAGUUAAGAGGGCGUGAAACCGUUAAUUGGCAAACGAAUCGGAGCCACGAAGUCGUUUCGCUGAUAGUUGGGCUGAGCUCAGCAUUUGUAAUAUUGUUCAAAUAUUGCAAGUGUGUAUUCUCUAUGGUUCAACCAUCUUUGUAAGCGUACACUGCAACCAGUUAGACGAUUGUUGAUGGGCACAGUGGGUUUAAAGUUUGCGCAAGUAAGCUUUUUAUUCACACAGCAUUUGUUUGCUACGAGAGGUAGCGAUUUGACUUCGUGAAUGCGAAUGCUCGAAUUGUUGGCUCGUAGUAAGUGAACUAUUAACAAAUACUGACUGGCAAAAUGAAAAUCACCUUCAUUCGAAGUGUGUUGUUUAGACAAUGCGCUUGCAAUGUACAGUGUUACACAUGUUAGCGCGUAAGUUUUAAAGUUCAGUAUUUUUGAAUUUAGACUUGCCUGUUACCAAUGGGGCAACUCUUGGUGCAAGUAUAGCUUCUAUCUAAUCGGAUAUUGACUUGGCUUGCGCUUUGUCUAACUGUGAAACGAUAAAUGCUGUGCGUUAGUUGAGUUGCAAUUUGAAUUGGCAGUGAGUAGGUCGGCUUUCCGAACGACCCGUCUUGAAACACGGACCAAGGAGUCUAAUUAGGCAUCAGUCGAUCGGUCUUGAUAGGCCAGACUGGGCGGCUUCGGCCGUCCGAUUGAAGGCGCAAAGAAAUCAAAUCAUGUGAUCAUGGCGGGCAACAACAGCCUCCAUGCGCAACAUGUGCCUGUUCAAUUGAGUGUGCUUGCACCUCUAGAGCGGAGCAAAGAGAUGCCUGAUUGGUACCCGAAAGAUGGUGAACUAUGCUUGGGCAAAUUGAAGCCAGAGGAAACUCUGGUGGAGGAUUGUAGCGAUUCUGACGUGCAAAUCGAUCGUCAGACCUGAGUAUAGGGGCGAAAGACUAAUCGAACCAUC
RNAcentral lists this ribosomal RNA (959 nucleotides) under Floracarus sp. 28sd2-5r97. RNAcentral describes it as "partial 28S ribosomal RNA". It matches the Rfam family "Eukaryotic large subunit ribosomal RNA", at positions 366 to 944 of the family's 3401-position model. Lineage: Eukaryota; Metazoa; Arthropoda; Arachnida; Trombidiformes; Eriophyidae. The record is from RNAcentral.